This 218-nucleotide long non-coding RNA is filed under the name Gallus gallus (chicken). Lineage: Eukaryota; Metazoa; Chordata; Aves; Galliformes; Phasianidae. The record is from RNAcentral.
CAGGAAUGUUCGAGAAUUAUUCCUGAAUAAUUCAUGAACCUGAAUUAAUCAUGCAUUUUCAUGAAUUAUUCAUGAAUAACUCAUGGAAAUGCAAGGUUUAUUCAUGCUCCAAAAAACCCAAGGCUUUUUCUCUUCUCCUCUGCAUUCUCUCCCUGUAAGAAACAGACCUGAAAUAAGCUAAGGAAUAUAUAUAUAUAUUGGGGACAGCAGGUGGGAGC